AUGCACGCUGGCGGCGUGCCUAAUCCAUGCAAGUCGAGCGAACAGACGAGGAGCUUGCUCCUCUGACGUUAGCGGCGGACGGGUGAGUAACCCGUGGAUAACCUACCUAUAAGACUGGGAUAACUUCGGGAAACCGGAGCUAAUACCGGAUAAUAUAUUGAACCGCAUGGUUCAAUAGUGAAAGACGGUUUUGCUGUCACUUAUAGCUGGAUCCGCGCCGCAUUAGCUAGUUGGUAAGGUAACGGCUUACCAAGGCAACGAUGCGUAGCCGACCUGAGAGGGUGAUCGGCCACACUGGAACUGAGACACGGUCCAGACUCCUACGGGAGGCAGCAGUAGGGAAUCUUCCGCAAUGGGCGAAAGCCUGACGGAGCAACGCCGCGUGAGUGAUGAAGGUCUUCGGAUCGUAAAACUCUGUUAUUAGGGAAGAACAAAUGUGUAAGUAACUAUGCACGUCUUGACGGUACCUAAUCAGAAAGCCACGGCUAACUACGUG
Molecule: ribosomal RNA, 496 nt
Filed under: uncultured bacterium
Lineage: Bacteria
Description: partial 16S ribosomal RNA
Rfam family: Bacterial small subunit ribosomal RNA
Source: RNAcentral